AGAGUUUGAUCAUGGCUCAGAUUGAACGCUGGCGGCAGGCUUAACACAUGCAAGUCGAACGGUAACAUAAACUAGCUUGCUAGUUUGAUGACGAGUGGCGGACGGGUGAGUAAUGCUUGGGAAUAUGCCUUGGAGUGGGGGACAACAGUUGGAAACGACUGCUAAUACCGCAUAAUGUGCUUUUUGUAGAGAAAAGUACCAAAGGGGGGGCUCUUCGGACCUCUCGCUUCUUGAUUAGCCCAAGUGAGAUUAGCUAGUUGGUGAGGUAAUGGCUCACCAAGGCGACGAUCUCUAGCUGGUUUGAGAGGAUGAUCAGCCACUGGGACUGAGACACGGUCCAGACUCCUACGGGAGGCAGCAGUGGGGAAUAUUGCACAAUGGGGGAAACCCUGAUGCAGCCAUGCCGCGUGUAUGAAGAAGGCCUUCGGGUUGUAAAGUACUUUCAGUUGUGAGGAAGGCGUUAAAGUUAAUAGCUUUAGCGUUUGACGUUAGCAACAGAAGAAGCACCGGCUAACUCCGUGCCAGCAGCCGCGGUAAUACGGAGGGUGCGAGCGUUAAUCGGAAUUACUGGGCGUAAAGCGCAUGCAGGUGGUUUGUUAAGCAAGAUGUGAAAGCCCGGGGCUCAACCUCGGAACAGCAUUUUGAACUGGCAGACUAGAGUACUGUAGAGGGGGGUAGAAUUUCA
This 685-nucleotide ribosomal RNA is filed under the name uncultured Vibrionaceae bacterium. RNAcentral describes it as "bacterial SSU rRNA". It matches the Rfam family "Bacterial small subunit ribosomal RNA", at positions 8 to 671 of the family's 1533-position model. The record is from RNAcentral. Lineage: Bacteria; Pseudomonadati; Pseudomonadota; Gammaproteobacteria; Vibrionales; Vibrionaceae.